Non-coding RNA from Podarcis lilfordi (Lilford's wall lizard), 24511 nucleotides. The record is from the annotation of a GenBank genome assembly. NCBI's taxonomy places the organism in Eukaryota, Metazoa, Chordata, Lepidosauria, Squamata, Lacertidae.
CUCACAGACUAUUGACCCGUACACCACUAAUCCGCUGCCACCAACCAGGUCCUCCCUGGUAAAAUCACUUCAGUCUCAGUCAGGUUCUCAAGUAAAUAAAGAAGAGUGCAUUUUAUUUCAGACACAAACAAACUUUUACGGCACUCCAAACAUUGUUACUCUUUACUUUCUUAGUCUUAUUUCCCACUCUCUAUCUCUUCUACCUCUCCUCACUCAAGAACCCAUUGCCCUAACUGUCUCUCUAUUUCCAACUGCCUGCCAACUGCUUCUCCAACUGCCUUUCCCAACCAGCCAAACCACUAAAACCAAUCAACUACCCACCAACAACUCCCAACAACAACUAACUCAAACCUUGGGCUAAGCCCUUUUAUACACAGGUAGGCUCCGCUUUCUUAUUGGUCUAUAUUUUUAACCCUAUCUCUCCCCCCUGUUCAAACAUUUUCUAAACGAACAGGCAAACGCCACAUCUGUAAUGCAGGGAAAGGGCUUAAGAGCAUUCUCAACAACUCCGCAAAAUUCAAGUUCCAGAGUCCAUUUAGGCCAAGGGUGGUGAAAGCUUUUCAGCCUGAGGGUCUCAUUCUUGUAUUGGUAACCUCUUGAGGGCCAUAUUCUGGUAGUGCCCAAUGCUUUGGUUGUACAUUUUUGGAGAUGAUUAGAUGUGCGUGCUUGUGUGUGUGUGUGUGUGUAUAGCUAAGCCUUUCGUGGAAACUUAUUUUGCCAUUACGAAUCUACUAAGUUUCCCAGAACACAGUCUGAAAACUUCUGCCACAGGAACAGUAAGCACAAAGGUGAACAUGGAAGUCCUUUGUUAUAUAGUCUUAUGAGCCGCCAACAUGAAAGCUGGCUGGCUUCUUGGAUUGCUGUAUUCUUGGGGCUAAGCAUAUGUAGCUGAAGCGAGAGCUAGGAACUUUUUCUCUCAGUUCUGUCUCGCCUUUUCCAUUUUUGAACAAGCUGUCAUAAUAAGGGCAUGGUACAUGCUCAGCCUUAUGUUAACAAAUUUCUGGAGCUGAAAUACUAUUCCCUCAGGGUGGCCCGCAUGCCAGCAUUUGGCAUAUGCACAAAAAAAGCAAUCGAGGAAAGGAGGACAUUUCUGUGAUGUGGGCCUACAUUUCGAAAAGAACAUGACAGCAUUUCCUAUGAACACAAUAGAAUGACAUUUUUUCAAAAAAAGCAAAGGUAGUCCAACACAUUUUUCUGUUUUCACCCCUCUGCCUCGAACGCAGCAUCUUUUUAUUUAUUUAUUUUAAAACCCUGACAUGAUAAGUAUAAGAGCCCUCUAACUUCAGCUGUCUCAGUAAGGUUUUUAUUCUGAAAUCUUCUAUGAAAUUGUGACUUGCUUUGAGGCUAUUGAAUCUUAGCACGCUGUGCAUUGUAAGUGAAAUGUGCAUUUGGUUAUGUAUUUGGGCUGGCAUCAAGAGGUUGAUCCUUCAACAGGAAUAAUAAUUUAUUCAUUCGACAAAAUUUCUAUGCCACUAAGUUGUAAAUAAAAUCUCUAAGCAGUUUACAAAGAAGAUAAAACAUGCUUUAAAAUUGUCGAUGAAAAUCAAAGUUACAAGAAUUUUUAAAGAAAUCAAGACACAAAUAAAAUCCCUUAGUUAGAAAUAUACAGUAUAAGCUAAAAUUACAUAAAAUACACGACAACUUUAUGUUUGGCUAGCCUAAGGUUACCAGAUGUCCCCGUUUCCUGGGGACAGUCCUCGGAUUUACAAAUCAGUCCCCAUACAAAAUCCUAUCAUUCCUACUGAAGUUGAAAAGUGUCCCCAGAAUCAUUGAAAAAAAUCUGGUAAACUUAGGGUAGCCUUGCCAAAAAGCAGGCACCAAAAGGAAUACAGCGAAGAUGCCUGAGCAGGCAAUUCAAGAGUGUAGGAACUGCCACACUAAAAGACUGUUUCCUUACAAGGGCAGAAUGAACAUUUUAUGGGACUUGUCAAAACGUCAGUUUUUCAGACUGAAGUGGUCAAAUGGGCAUAUAUGGGGUAAGGUGAUCCUUCAAGCAAACUGGUUCCAGGCUGUUAAAGGCUUUUGACAAUGGUGAUGGUGAUGAUAUUAGCUGAAACAAAUUCAGAACAUUGAUUUAUUUUUAUUUUUACAUAAAGGCUGUACAGAUCUGAAUGUGUGUACAGUCUUCAUCUUCCGCUCAGGGAGAUGAAAGAUAAGGUGUUGCCUUACAGUGCACCAGACUGCCGAUAAUUAACAACAACAACAACAAUUUAUUUUUUGGGCGGCUUCCAAAAAAUGAAAACACAGUAAGACAUCAAACAUUAAAAACUUCCUGAUACAGGGCUGCCUUCAGAUGUCUUCCAAAAGUCAGAUAGUUGUUCAUUUCCUUGACAUCUGAUGGGAGGGCGUUCCACAGGUUGGGUGCCACUACCGAGAAGGCCUGGUUCCCUGUAGCUUCACGUUUCACUGUGUGGGAACCACCAGAAGACCCUCAGAGCUGGAUCUCAAUGUCCAGGCUGAACGAUGAGAUUGGUGAUGCUCCUGCAGGUAUAUAGGGCCAAGGGCAUUUAGGGCUUUAAAGGUCAGCACCGACACUGACUUAGACUCGGAAAUGUACUGGGAGCCAAUGUAGAUCCUUUAAGACUGGUGUCAUAUGGUCCUGGCAGCCACUCCCAGUCACCCAUCUGGCAGCUGCAUUCUGGAUUACUUGUAGUUUCUAAGUUACCUUCAAAGGUAGCCCCACUUAGAGCGCAUCUCAGUAGUCCAAUGACUACAUUGGCUGGCAUUUGCUCUCCAAAAUUGAACCUGUAACCUUCACUUUGCAAAACAGUAGCCCUAUUAGAAAAGCAGCAGUAAAAAGCUAGGUUUAAGUCCUCUUGCCUCUUAUCAACAAACAGCUGGCUGGGGUGCUUGCUGAUUGUUUGGCAUAGCUACAAACACAGACACAAUCCUGGUUGCUAGCCUGAGGCCCAUGGAAUAUAGAAUUUAUAGAGUCAGACCAAUGUUCCACCAAGCUGAGACUUUCUAUCUGAGUGGCAGUGACUUUCCAGAAUACCAUCCCCAGCUGGAGAGAUUACACUAGGGAUCUCCUGCAUGCACAGCAUAUAGUCCCCUCUUGUGUAGACAGGAUCUCCCACUAUCACUGUUGGAACUGGCCCUAGGGAAGCUCAGAACUAAGGGAUUUAUUUAAAAAAAUAAAAUAAAAUAAAUUCCCGAAGAAGUCUUUAUAGCACAGCUUCUUUGCCAAUGGUAAUAACGGCACUUCAAAAUGCUCGACAAGCACUACUGCAGUGAACCGUAGCAAAAGCUGUGAAAAACAGGUGAGCCUUUUGAUUUAUUAAUUUAUUUUAAUCCAUUUAUAUCCCACUUAAAAAAAAUUAAUUGGCUCCAAAGUGGCUAACAAAUCAAGAGCGGCCAUAACGAUAGGACAACAAUGGAAAUCAAUCACGCAUCUGCAUGCGUCAGCAUAAAACUGGCAAAACCAAUAUAAAAAGCGCAUAAAUCAGGCAUUGGAAAAAGUCUUCCAGAAAAGAAAAGUUUCCAAAGUCCGUCUAAAAAUGAAGUCAGAGGGUUUGGUGGAUUGCAGGAACCGGGGUGGGGCGCUCAGUUUGAGAGAAGAGCCACCCAGAUCAGGGACAGCCUGUGUUCAUGUGUGUGUAUUUGUGUAUAUGCCACUGGUCCCAUCACCUCCUGGCAAAUAGAAGGGGAAGAAAUGGAGGCAGUGAGAGAUUUUACUUUCUUGGGCUCCAUGAUAACUGCAGAUGGUGACAGCAGUCACGAAAUUAAAAGAUGCCUGCUUCUUGGGAGAAAAGCAAUGACAAACCUAGACAGCAUCUUAAAAAGCAGAGACAUCACCUUGCCAACAAAGGUCCGUAUAGUUAAAGCUAUGGUUUUCCCAGUAGUGAUGUAUGGACGUGAGAGCUGGACCAUAAAGAAGGCUGAUCGCCAAAGAACUGAUGCUUUUGAAUUAUGGUGCUGGAGGAGACUCUUGAGAGUCCCAUGGACUGCAAGAAGAUCAAACGCAUCCAUUCUUAAGGAAAUCAGCCCUGAGUACUCACUGGAAGGACAGAUCCUGAAGCUGAGGCUCCAAUACUUUGGCCACCUCAUGAGAAGAGAAGAUUCCCUGGAGAAGACCCUGAUGUUGGGAAAGAUGGAGGACACAAGGAGAAGGGGACGACAGAGCACGAGAUGGUUGGACAGUGUUCUCGAAGCUACCAGCAUGAGUUUAACCAAACUGCGGGAGGCAGUGGAAGACAGGAGUGCCUGGCGUGCUCUGGUCCAUGGGGUCACGAAGAGUCGGACACGACUAAAUGACUAAACAACAACAACAACAUAUGUGACUUCAGAAGCUGUGGGACAAUUUCAAACAAGAUGUGCUCUCCCAAGCCCACAUUCCCAGCAUGUUCACACUCCUGUCUCAGUGACAUCUAUGCAGGCUUGGUCAUGUUCACAGAAUGGAACAUGGCAGGAUCCCCAAGGCCGUGAUCCAGAAUUGCGUGCUGCAGAGACCUGGCUACUAUCUCCGUCUUAAGGAUGAUGGGAGUUGUAGUCCAACAACGUUUGCAUAUCACUACAUUGGCUAUCUCUGAAUGGGGGGGGGGAUAUUCUUUCAGCUUCAACUUCCCAGCUCACAGUCUUAGGCAGCACUCGAGCCUAUGCUAUAAAUAUAUGAUUAUUUUGUAUCGGGGGCAUCUGCGCAUCACAAACGGUAACACUAUUAUGUGAAAUGAGUUAUGUUAGAAGGUAAGUGUCCUGAUUUCUAAGACCGAACUUUAAGUACAAAGACACUUACAUUCAGAAUGGCAAACACUCUGGUUAACGCAGCAGCUCUCAUGUGUGACCAGAUUACUCCGAAGGGCACUUGAAAAUUGGUGCUUGUUAGUGGGACUCAAGCCUCCCAUACUAAAAAGAGAAACCAGAGGAAGAUCUCAGAAAGUGCAGCUCUGCCGAGAAUUAAUAAGAGACGGGGUGUUGUGGCCGAGUUUAUUGUGUUAACAAGGUGACCUUCACAAAAGCACAUCUAAUUGUUAAUUGCGGAGAGAAACCAUACACAUAUAUCCCCAUUGAAAUUAAUUACGUGGUCCCCCCUCGUCGCUUGAUAGUUCUGUGUCUUUGGCAUCUCCACAAAUAAUCAAUGAUACGAUCGGCUGAUAUGAAUAAGUUGUGUAGAGGUUUCCAAGAUUGUCACUUUCGUUAUCUUUCCUUAGGGUAGGGUAUUAGCUCCCCCCUUCCUACUGCAUAAUGAUUUAUUUAUUUUAAAAGAAAUGAUUAGAGGCAAGGAUCAGCAGAAUAAGAGUUGGGGGGAAAUAUAUCUGGGAAGACAGAUUGCAGAAUAAAAUAUUAUCUUCUCAUACAGGAGGGUUAGUCUUGGAGGAGUUGAAGAUGAUACAAUAUAGUGUGUGUGUGUGUGUGUGUGUGUGUGUGUGUGUGUGGAGGGAUGGGGUUAGUUUCAGGUCCGUCUCUAUCCUAUAAUAGGCUAUCUUAGGGUCCAGAUUAGGGGACACUAUUAAAGGGCAGCUGAUCCCCAGUUAUUUACUUUAUUAUCACAACUUUGCCACUAUGCGGGGAAGGUCUAUUUAGAUAUCCUGCCUCAGGUGCCAAAACUCAUUGGACCAUUUCCUAGUUAGCAGUGGACAUGUCUCUCUCCACCAGAAAUCAGUAGUUGCUUCAGACUUUACUUCUGAUUUGCUGAGUUCCUCCCGCUCCAGUUGGCACAGAGGUUUAAGGGUUAUGAAUCCACUAAAUCGAGACUGUGGACUCAUCAUGCCAGGGGUGGGGGCUGGAAUAACCUAGAUCUGCUGCUGGGUUCCACUUCUUUUCUGCCAAGUAAGACUUCAUGGAAUUGUCAUUUGAGGGUUUUAUUAGCCCUAGUCAUAUAUCCACCUCUUUGCUUAGACCAGCCUUUCUCAACCUGUGGGUCCCCAGAUGUUGUUGGACUACAACUCCCAUCACCCCUAGCUAGCAAGGCCAGAGCUCAGGGAUGAUGGGAGUUGUAGUCCAACAACAUCUGGGGACCCAUAGGUUGAGAACUGCUGGCUUAGACCAAACACAGGGGAUUAGGACCAUAUUAGAGCCAAAAUACAUUAGGCAUAAAUAGGGAAACUCUGGACUUUCAUUAUCUUUCACCAUUGGCCAUGCUGGAUGGAGAUGAUGGGAGUUGUAGUUCAACAACUACUGCAGGGCCACAGGUUUCCGAUUCAUUUUCCAUUACCAAACUUAAGCUUAAAUCUCCUCUACAUUGCUUCCCCUGCUGUUCGCUGUCCAAGGUGCUGAUUUACUAUGAUACUGAAUCAGGAGAGAAAGAUCAAGUGCUCAGAUGGUCCUUCACAGAAAGAAGCUCGCCUCUGAUGGGCCAUUCAAGGGGUAGCAACAAGUAGGAACCAAGGCUAACCAUCAAGGAUUCUGGAGUGACACGUUAUGGGCAAACACAGAUAACCAUUUGCCAAUGACUAACUUCCCACAAAAAGGUAUGGUUUUCCCAGUAGUGAUGUAUGGAAGUGAGAGCUGGACCACAAAGAAAGCUGAUUGCUGAAGAAUUGAUGCUUUUGAAUUAUGGUGCUGGAGGAGACUCUUGAGAGUCCCAUGGACUGCAAGAAGAUCAAACCUAUCCAUUCUGAAGGAAAUCAGCCCUGAGUGCUCACUGGAAGGACAGAUUCUGAAGCUGAGGCUCCAAUACUUUGGCCACCUCAUGAGAAGAGAAGACUCCCUGGAAAAGACCCUGAUGUUGGGAAAGAUUGAGGGCACAAGGAGAAGGGGACGACAGAGGACGAGAUGGUUGGACAGUGUUCUCGAAGCUACCAGCAUGAGUCUGACCAAACUGCGGGAGGCAAUGGAAGACAGGAGUGCCUGGCGUGCUCUGGUCCAUGGGGUUACGAAGAGUCAGACACGACUGAAUGACUAAACAACAACUUCCCACAGUGUGUGUUGUAGCAGUUGUUAGGCCACUUGCCUGUAAGUAGAGGAAUGAAUUCUGCCAUGUUUCAUUUACACUGGUCAGAAAUCGGGGUGAAGUAGUGGAGAGGUUAAAGAAAUAUGUUAAGGGAGGCAAGAGCAAGAUAUAACAGGUAUUAGGACUCUUGUGUGUGUGUGUGUGGUUUCAUAGGGCUGUCUGUUAUUAAAACUUCAGGUGUCAGUGGGAGAGAAGUAUACAAGGCGGAGGAAGCAACCAUUGUCCUAUGCUGGGACAAGAAGAGACUGUGAACAUCAGUUGAGAGUGAUGCACUGCUGAGCCCUUGGUUCAAGAGCACUCAGAAACCCUGGAUGUAGGAUAGCAGGAUAGAAUGCUCCCGAUGGAAACAGGUCUCCCUGUUUCAGGUUGUAAAUAUAGUCUCACUGCUGGCUAGACCAGCCUUUCCCCAACUGGUGCCCUCCAGGUUUCGCUAGACUACAACUACCAUCAGCCACACAGUCAAUUGCCAGGGAUGAUGGGAGUUGCAGUGCCCAUCAGUAGGGCAUGAGAGUAUAAAUGAUAAGUAACUGUCAGGCUUCGAGAAAUUCUAUCCCUCCCCUGGUGGCAGCAAGAAGCAGAGAAAAACAAAGAAGAGUUCUUACGAAUGAGUUUAUUCAAUCAUCACGGAGAGAGACAAAGGAAUGCAGUCUGUAUCCCAUUAAUGGCUGUGCUGGUCCCGAGGGUUAACCAUGCGGCGAGGUCCGAGUCCAAUCCGAGGUGGAGGGUGCGGUAUGGAGGCUGUCCGUCAAAGGUGGAGCUGGUCCAAGGCAGAGAGUCGGGUGAGGUCAGGAGCUCUGGCAGAAGAGCAGGUCAGGGUGCAGGCAGGAACAGGCUACCAACAAUGUUGCUCCCGCAACCAGGGACUGGGGCUGGCUGGCUUUUACCUGCCCUGAGGCAUAGGGAAGCCCCAGUCCUGGCCUGGAGGCGAGCACUCCUCCUGCGGGAACUUGGUUCCCUCUGCCUUUCUGCCCUGAGCCUCUGCGGCUCAGGAGAGGCUGGAGGGUUACCAGACCCAGAGGCAACCACAGCUUCCUCUGAUAGGGCUGAGAGUGGAGCACCUGCAGGCAAUGGGCCCUCCAUCACCUCAGGAGCCAGAGCAGACUCAGCUGAUGCCUGCACCUGAGGAUCCAGCACAGGUGAGGACCCUUCAGGCUCAUGCCCCAGCCCCAGCUCAGCUGGUUCUGGAGGCGGGGAAUCCUGUGCAGGCUGGGAUUCCUCAGGUUCAGCCUCCGAGUCCGAAUCCCAGGCCAUCACAAUGGUGUUGCUCCAACUGAGCUCCUCCCCCUCCCUUUCUAGCAACAGCACUUCCCCUUACGGUGGCCACCAGGGGCUAUUUGUCUCUGAGUCCUUUGCUCUUGCACUCUCAGUGAACGCCGAGUUCUGGGCGGGUGUGUGUGUGUCAGAAAUACUCUCCAGUGAUAACAUGUCAGCUGGCUGCUCUGACUCUGUCCCUGCCUUCUCUUCUCCCACACCUCCCAACUCUUCUGUUCUCCUGUCUCUGAGCUGUGACCUUCCUCAAACCACUGCUGUAAUUCAAUACUGCCUUCCUCUUCUCUGCAAGCUUCAGAAGGGGAGUGGGUGAUGUCCACCAUUUCUCCUCAAUCUCAUCUCCUUCAGUCCAGGCCUGAUAGUAACUUAGCAUAUAAAAGGUCACCUAUAUUCAUCAGGAGAAAAAAGAAAGCCUUCGUUUGUUAUUGUGAUGUACAUCAUUUCCAUUUCUCGUUCUGCAGCAGCAAACACUAUACAAGGUUUGAGACGGAGGGGAUGGAGCGAACUUCUAGCCCGUCCUCUAGACAUCAGCUGACAAAGUCAAGCCUUUUCUUCUCAUAUCCGUCAUAUUUGCACUUCCAGAAAUAGAAAUGACCCCCAUCACCAAAGCCUUGCUUGAACGCCUCUCUCCCCGACAACCAGCCUCUGUAAUGUAAUGCAAUCAUCUCUUACAACUGUUCUUCAACUUUCAAACAGCUUGAAGUAACAAUUUCACUUAGGUGGACAGUAUAUAUUAUCAAGUGCUCCUCUUGCUGUUUGUCUCAGUGUGAAUCUUCCGGUCUGAGGAGUGUGUAAAAUAGAGAACAGGGGAACAGAUGGGUCUUGCCAUAAAAAUGAAAAUCCUUUUUUAAACACACACACACACACACACACACACACACACCAAAAUCAUAGAAAUGAAAAGUUUCAUGAGAAUGUGGAACCAAAUCCUGUAUAGCUCAUGCUGAUAAUUCUCAUCCCUUCAUCCUGUGCAAAGUCCCACUGCUUUGUACAGCUCUUGCAAACCUGAGCGUGGAGAACAUAUAUGAGGAAGGCUUAGAGGAUCAUGCUGGCAUAGGAAGGGAUGCGAAGAGAAGAAGGAAAAAAGUCAACAAGGAGGCAACAGGAUCCUAUUUGCAAUUCAAAUCUGAUGCUGUGUUUGUAAUGUCGCAGCUACAGACAUCCUACAUUGGCAGGGAAUGAAAUCUCAUGAAAAUGCAAAUUCUUUUGACACAGUGAUAGUGCUGAGACCUACCUCUAUUGUAGGAAGGGAAAGAGAAUGCACAAUGCAAUAUCUCUGGUAUACAAAUACCAAAUGUCCCAUCCCUACUUGCCCCAGUAGAGCCAUCUAAUUUCAUACCCUGCUUCCUUAAAAGAAAAAAAGAAGUCCAGGUGCCAUUCUCUUCAUGGAAACAUAAUUGUCUGCCAUUAUUAUUAUUAUUAUUAUUAUUAUUAUUAUUAUUUCUGAAUUGUUUCCUCUAAGGCUUAUUGCAGUGAAUUGCAGUGCUAUAAAAUGUGGAUAAAACAAUGACAUUUCUAAAAUAAAUUUCAAAUCCAGUACAGAUACCACCUGGGAUGACAAGGCUUGUUUUAGUGCUAAUUGAUCCUGUUGCAUUAAUAAUAAUAAUAAUUUUUUAUUUAUACCCCACCCUUUCUGGUUCAAAAACUGGGCUCAGGGCAGCUAACAACAAAUUUAAAACACUUUAAAACAUUUAAUUAUAAAAGCAGCAUAAAAUACAGUAUAAAAACAUGAAUAACAAUAAAAUUCAAAAAUCAUAUUCAAAUUCAAAAGAUAACCCCCAGGGCUACCUGGCUGAAUUGGUCCUACUUAGGCCAGCGAGGAGGUCAGGGGAGAAUUAGCUGUGGGGUCUCAGAGUGGGUGAUCUUCAUAAAAAGGGAGGGGGAGGGAAGAGAAGGGAAAUAAAAGAUCAGGCUGAAUUCGAAUUAAAGGACAGGCGGAAUAGCUCUGUCUUAUAGGAGGAGGUUAAAUCUUGAAGGGCCCUAGUCUCAUAGGACAGAGCAUUCCGCCAGGUCAGAGCCAUCACUGAAAAGGCCCUGGCCCUGGUGGAGGAUAGUCUGACUUCCUUAGGGCCCGGGACCUCUAAACUAUGGUUAUUCACGGACCUUAAGGUCCUCUGUGGAGCAUACCAGGAGAGGCGGUUCCAUAGAUACAAGGGCCCUAAGCCACAAAGGGCUUUAAAGGUCAAGACCAGAACCUGACCCAUUAGGGGAAGCUCCUUUGUUAAAUCCCUCCCAUAGAGCUUGAAAACAAAAUGCCAAUGCCUUGUUUCAUGCCUGUUUGGUCCUUGGCCAAACAUCCACUUCAACCAGGCUGCUAUAAUGGCUCCAUGGGUGUCUUAAGACCUUGGUCAGGGUUGGAGAACCUUCAACCCUCCAGUUGUUGCUGAAUCUCAGCUCGCAUCACCCUUGUCCGUUUCUCAUGCUGCCUAUGGCUGAUGGGAACUGCAGGUUCCCUGUCCUUAUCCAGAUGUGGGUUUUAGCAGGCUGUCCUUUUAACCCACCCCCAUUUUUAUCUGUUGACUUUUGUUAUAUUAUUUGCUCUGUAAUGGUACAUUUCUGUUUUUUGUCUCAUGGAGUGCUCUGCGAAGAAAAGCAAAAUACAUAUUUAUAUAAAAAAAAUACAUAGGUGAAUGUUGCUGCUGGGAACCCAUAGCAGAGCUUAUACCCAGUGGUGCUGAUGGUCCGAUUUGCAUUCAGGUCUUCCAGAGUUGUCUGUUAUGCCGACUGGAUUGAAAGGUCACUUCUGAGCAAAUGAAAGACAUUGUCUUUUUAAAAACCAGCAUCCUCUGUUCUCAAGGCCUUGAGUCCCUGAAGAUAUUCAUACUGAAUGCAACACUUCCUGAAUAAUAAAUAGCUGUGCUGUUCCCAGAGGGGGUGGGGAGGGGGGGAGAAACCAAAUGGCAAAAAAUUGGACUGUUUCCAUGUUUUUCUCUUCUCUCUGUGAUUCCAGCUGAGAGUUCUUUAAAAGAUGCAGCGUACUUUCUGUCUCCCUGCUCCAUUCUCCUAAAUCUAAUACUUGCCAUUUCAGGGCCACUGCUUUCUUCUGUCUACAGGACCUGUGAAGAACCUUUGACCCUCCAGAUGUUGCUGAACUGCCCCAACCAAUGGCCAGGGAAGGUGGGUAUAAUAGUUUAGCAACAUCUGGAGGGCCAAAGGUUCCCUACACCUGCUCUACAAGGUGCAUGUUUGUUAUCAAAUGCAAUGGAAAAUUCCCUGUUGACCAAGAAUAAGGUGGUGCCUGUCAUCCUAUCAGCAUUGGGUCCUAUAAGGAACAGUCUUUAUCAGAGGGGCAGCUUGAAGAACAUAAGAGCAGCACUCCUAGAUCAAGUCAAAGGCUCAUUUACUCCAAUGUUGCAUCCUCACAGUGGCCACCUAGAUGCCUCUUAUGUUCUCAUGAUUAAAUUUUAUUGAGGAACCAACUGCCAAGAACUCAAUUAUACUUGUACAAUUUAAGGGUGAUGCAGAAGAAUGAUGAAGUAAAAACCCCCUGAUCUUUGGCUUCUAGAUGAAAUAUUUAAUUUUAAGAACACAACAUGUAUUUCUCCACAUAGUUAACAGGAACUUCAGCUGACCUCGGUGACUAAUGUCCUGACUUGUAUUGCACCACACUCCAUCCUGAGGAAUGGCAGAGGUAUGGAGAGGGGCUCAGAGCAAAUCUAAGUGCUCUCUCCAAUUUUGAAACAGGACAGUAUGGUCCUUGGUGUCCAUCAUGGCUUUGUGCUGUUAUCCACCAGCUAUGUAUCUCUCCCAACAUCCUUGGUCCAGUUUUCCUGCUUAUGGCAAUGUUUCGAGCCAGUCCGUGGCAUUUGCUGGAACACACCAACUUUCCCUUUUCCCUUUUUAUUGCCAAGCUGUGAACAUUAGGGCAGUCAAUGUCUAAAAAUGAGCUAGCAGUACUUUGGACAUCUUCCUUAUACAUCCAUGACAUGCAGGCUCGGGUCAAGCUAUGGAUCUCACUAGGUUCUCAAUCUAUCAAAUUUUAUGCUCAUCCUCACGAUUGCAAAGUCCUUAUGCAAAUCAUCCUCUCAACUGGAUGCCUUGGUAAUAGUGGGUUGUAGCCACUGUUAGUUCCACUCAGAGUGGGACAACUCUGAAUGGAACGAAACAGGAUACAACCCACAGUCUGCUUUUCUCAUUAAGAAAGUUAUAGUCUCCUUUGUAGUUUCUUGAUAUUUACAAUACGGCAUCUAUUUAUCUUUUUAAAAGCAAACUCAAAACCAGUUUUGCUAAUGUAUUGUAUUUAUGGUAACAACUCACAAUGAAUGCAGAAUUGUACGUGUGUUCUCUCCUAAGGCGAACUAAAAUUAGAAAGAAAUAAACAUGCUCUCCUCUAAUUUCCAUUCAUCUCACUUUUCUGUGAGAAGGUCCUGGUGGGUUAUGUCCAGAAUACCUUUUCAUCACAUGAAGAAUACCUGCUUCAUGCUUUCAAUUCUUGCCACUCUUUAAAAGUUUUUGUUCCAAGAACUGUAAUUUAUUAUGUUUUAUUGUUGCAUGUAGCGGGAGCAGACUUUUGUUCUUCACACUAGGGGUAUGAAAAAUGAAGCAGGUGAUAUCAUGAACCCUAAAAAUAGAGGAUGUGACUGGAUGCAGACAGGCCUUAAUUUAGACAGUGUGGCUUAGACUGAACUAUGACAUGUAGAAAUAUGGGUGGGGUGAAUAGCCUGUGACCUGCCCACCUGCAGCAUCUUGCAGACAAACACCUGAAACUCAGAGUCCAUAGGUAGCAAUUACGGAUCAGAAGCAUGAGGGAUGAUAUCAUAUAACUCACCAGUCAGAUCUUCCUGCUCUUGCUGUCUCUUCUGAUUUUAUGAAACAAUAAUCUAACUAAAACUCAGCUGAAGCUACUGGCUGUUUUCUGAACACUUUCAGCAGUCCAAAAAACCACCUCCUUUCUCCAGCAUUUAUUUUUUGGGGGGAACAAUUCCAUUGUGAACAUGUUCACUUAGUAACCUCAAUGCUUCCCCCCUCCUUCUCUCAGCUGAUGUCAUGAUACAGACAUAUCUGAUUGGCUACUUGGUGUUAUGACAUCAUUCCAUUUGCUGUGUGAUUCCUUACUGGCAAGACCAACCACGUGACUGAGCUAGAAAGCAAGAGGAAAUGGUAUCUGUGGCGAAAUGUAAUUAAAUGUAAUUAAAGCAGCAACAUGACCCCAAUAGCAUGAAACAGGAUAAAAAUAUAAAAAUAUUAUUUAAUAUUACUAAGGCAAGCAAUACACAUAGAACCCCCUACACAAUAAAAAAAUCAGAAGCAGUACUUUUGUGUACCGGGUUGCUCAAUACAUGGUGACAUCAUCAUAAGUACAAUCUCUGCUGUUGUUGCUUUUGAACUGUAUUUUAAUGUUGCAGAUUUUUAAAUUUUUAAUACGUCAUAUGGCAUUGUGUUUCAAAAUUGUCAUAAGCUGCACGAGCACUAGAAAGGCGGGAAAUAAUGUUUUCACGUAAGUAAAACAGAUAAAGCCAUCAAGCGCUUUUUGGGAGGGCUGCAAACUGGACUCAAGGUAGCAAGGCUCUGAAGAGAAUAUAAUGGCAGCCAAUUCUGGGCUAAUCUGAUGAAAUCUCAGGUAAAACAUAACCCCCUAAAUGUUCCAAAGUGCCAAGCUACAGCAAAGGACAAGGGUGCCAACUCUAUGUGGCUAAGGUGUUUUAGGCCUCCCCAAUAUCCGUUGGGAAGGGACUGGGCCCCCUCAAUGUUGAGGGGGUGGAGGAGGCUAAGUGUGGAGCUGAGCACUAUGUGGCUUCUGUGGCUGGCUCCUCCUGAGCAUGAGAGAGGAGGAGCUCCACGCUCUGCCCCCUCCUGAUAAUGCGAUGUUGCGCAUGCUGGGCGCAUGACAUCACACACACACAAUGCGCAUUGCACACGAUAUCAUGCAUGCACAUCGUGCACCAGGCCCCCUCAAUCUUGGGUGCAACUUGUGCCUCUCGUAAAGGAUAAGGGCCUGCCUGGCCUUUGAAUUUGGUCUCCACUGGACUCAACGGCCAACUUGCUCAAACGUUCAUCACUGACUGAUUAAGAUGUUGUAAGCUUUGCAGAGACCUAGGAGAAAACCCAGACUGUGUACUGUGAGGAGAUAGUGCCGCAAAAGCAGAUGGGGAAGUAAGGAAGGACAGGGUGAACGGGGAAAACACUUUGUUUAUGUACUUCAACAGAUUUUAAGUGGCGUUGAAGAGGGAUAUGACAUAGAAUCAGUUAAAAUUAACCAUAAAAUGAGAAAAAGUAACUGAAAAUGCCUGUUGAAAUUUAAAAAGUCAGCAAUAAGUGCUGGAAUUUCAAGAGGGCAGGGGUCUGUCCAAUCUCAGCCAAGAGAGUUCCUCAGAAUUGGGCCACAAUCAGUGCCGGAUUUAUGUAUAAGCUAAACAAGCUAUAACUUAGGGCCCCACUCUCUUGGCCCGCCCCCAAAUAUACUUCUUAAUUGUAUUUCACUGUUAAUAUACUUCUUCUUAAAUGUAUUUCAGUUCAACAAUUACUUUGAUAAAAUACAGGUACAUAUUUUGUUAUGUGCAAAUGGCUUUAGAUACCUAUUAGGUCCAUAAAUUCCCAUAUAGCAUAUAUUCAACACAAAAAACAGCGACAAUUUGUUGUUGACAAAGGACAGCUGGACAUUUAAAGGGCCCCAUUACCUUCAGUAGCUUAGGGCCUCAUCAAACCUAAAUCCAGCCCUGGCUACAAUACUGAAUGAAUAGCUCCUGGUGGAUAUGAGUCAUACAUGAGACACGUGGGGGACCACUAACUAACAGCCAAUGCUACACAUGUGCAGAGGGCCUUGGGCGCAAUGGGACUCUCCUCUCCUCUCUUCUUCUCCCCAAGCACUCUCAAAAUCUGCUCCAGGGGGUCCUCCAACGCUCUGGAGCAAAUCUUAAGGGUGCAUGGGGGCCUGCAGAGGAGAGAAGGGGGAAGUUCUGUUGUGCAAGAGAAGUUCAAUUCGGUAGUGGAAAGGAUACAAUCUUGUGACUCUUCCAAACAUCUCAGUGAUUGGGCAGGGGUAUAAGGAAUCAGGACGUGGGUGGCGCUGUGGGUUAAACCACUGAGCUAGGACUUGCCGAUCAGAAGGUCGGCGGUUCGAAUCCCAUGACGGGGUGAGCUCCCAUUGCUCAGUGCCUGCUCCUGCCAACCUAGCAGUUCGAAAGCAUGUCAGAGUGCAAGUAGAUAAAUAGGUACUGCUCCGGCGGGAAGGUAAACAGUGUUUCCAUGCGCUGCUCUGGUUCGCCAGAAGCGGCUUAGUCAUGCUGGCCACAUGACCCGGAAGCUGUACACUGGCUCCCUCGGCCAAUAAAGCGAGAUGAGCGCUGCAACCCCAGAGUCGGCCACGACUGGACCUAAUGGUCAGGGGUCCCUUUACCCUUUACCUUAUAAGGAAUCAGGCAGCCAAGAUCUUGUAUCCAAGUUGUUAAGGCCCUUGUAAAUUAAUACAACACUCUUGAACUUGCCCAGGUUUCACAAACUGGCAUUGGCUGCCUCCCUCCCUCCCUCCCUCUAUAACUUUCACUCCACUUUGAUUUGAAAUGGCCCAAGUGUAACUCUCCAGAACUGGAUCUAAAACUGUUAAAGGGUGAUAGAGAAAAUGUGACAUCGCUGCAAUUGAACGGUGAUGAAAAGUACCGGGUGCUUUUUUAUCUCAUAUUUUUUGCUUUCAACAGUAAAGUACUCCUGUUGAUGUUGCCACAAACUGAAGACAAUUAUUCUUUAAUGCCAUGUAUUUGCUAGACCGGGACAGGAGAAGAAUUCAUAGCCUAUUUCACUCAAUUACUGCUCCCAGCAAUAUUCUUACCAGGAUAUUGCUUUGCAGCCACUAAAGCAAACCGAAAUAAGAUUGGGUUGUUUGCGAGGUGGAUGGUAAAGGGGAAAAAAUAGUUAUUAGGUGUGUGGGUGUGGGUAUAUAUAUAUAUAUAUAACCAAACAAACCUGUAAACAGACAACAUAAUGCUUUCUUUCUGAAAGGCUGCUUCACAAACUAGUUAAGCUAGAAUACUUGGGUUUUACUUGAUAGGUACUUCAUCAUAAAUGUUGGCUUUAGCGUUCUUGCCAUAAACAUUGACUCUGCUGCUUCUGUCUGUCAUAGUGCUUGUGAGAUCACAUUGGAAAGCUGGCAUCCUGUCAUGUUUUGUGACGUCUCUCUUGUGCAUGUCAUCUUAAGUGAACUCUGAGCAACUGGUGAACUACCCAGCUUUAAUUUAUUAGGACCCCUGUUUGUGCAGAAGAUUGUGGUAAGUCAAGAAUGGCUGGUGGUCUUUGUGGGUCAGGACAGUUAAAUAUAAUUGAUUUAAUUCACACAAUAAUGAAAAAUGUAUGUAUAUUAAUAAAGGUUUAAAAUGGAAAAUGGCUAAAUGUGUAUUGCUAACAUUGGGGGUUUUCCACAAUUGUUUUCCAAAGAACUCUGAGCGUCUAAAUGGGUUAAUGAUUACCUGUUGAUUGCUUUCUGUUACUCUAAACUGCGUGUAACUUUUGAUCACUUGACGAGGGUACUGAGUUACAAAUUCGCCAUCCUGAAAGGGUGGUGGCUGUCAGUCUUUCUCUGAACAUGACAGAGAACAGAAAGAUGUAAAUGAAGCACUCCUGAAGGGAGAGUAAACAGCCUAAGGCCAAUGGAAUCUGGAAUGCAGUCUGUGGGAAGAGGUGAUCCUCUGCUUCUAGGUCUGUUUGGAUUAUUUCAUAUUUUCUAAGAUGCUGAGCCUGUGCUGGGUAGCACAAGACAUUGUAUAGAUAUUUUGGUUGUAUCUUUGAUACUUACGUUUUGUUUUGAAAAGUUCUGCCGUCAAAAGUUUGAAUAAUAUUUUUAUGGGCCUGGACAAUGAAACGUCUCAACAGCAGUUAUUUAAAAUUACUUUCUUUUGAACCUAGACACUUAGAAAAAUCUGAAAAUCUUUAGUCAUUUGAAAACUAAGAAGUUAAUUUAAAAAACAAACAAACACUGAGGUGUACCUUUCAUGCGGUUAAUGAGUAUUGUUUUUCAAAAUUACAAAGAAAUUCCAUCUUAUUUUUAAAAAAUCUAAACUAAAACAAGUUUUCUUGGAUUUGCUGAAAACCUUUUCAGCACCUUUCUCAAUUCCUACUUUUUUCCAGUGCAGUUUUGCUGUGCAUACUCAGUAAGCAUAGCUCAUUGAUAGCUCACUGAGUAUUCAAUUUCAAAAGUUCUGAUUAUUUCUACUUUUAGUUAAGUAUUUUUAUUUAUUUACAGCCGUACCUUGGUUCUCAAAUGCCUUGGUGCUGGUACAUUUUGGCUCCUGAAGCCAAAUGUCCAACAUGACUUCCACUUGUAUGCAGUAAACUCCUGCAGCCAGUCAGAAGCUGCGCCUUGGUUUUCGAACAGUUUCGGGAGUCAAAUGGACUCCCAGAAUGGAUUAAGUCCAAGAACCAAAGAACCACUGUACUUGGCUAUGCUCUUGAUGGGGCUCCUAUCCUCCAGGAUUACCAGCACCAAGCUAAGCAUUACGUUUCAGAGGAACCAUGGGACCGUCAGGUUUAUUGAUUGCUAACCCCUGGGAUAUAGAACUGGUUCUUAAAAUGCUCAAUUUCAAGCUGGUUUAGGCUUGACCUGCGCUUACAGUGGAGUGAGGUGGUAGAGUUGAGGUGAAUCAGCAGUACCAUUUCAGAUUACAGGUGAAGAUCAAAAACGCUCUCUCUCCUGUGUUAAUUAAUUUUGUUCUUUCUGUUUUGCCAGGAAUUUUCAAUCUCAAGGUGCACUACAAAAUGGCACCUCCCACCUGUAUGGUAUUAGCCCUCUCUUCCCAUGUUAGCAUUCAUUCAUGUCAUUCUGCUGUAUGUGUAGACUUGAUCCCUAGCUCAACUUGAUUGUAGAUUGAACGCAUUUGCUGAUUUGAUGGGCUGCCUCCAACGAUGCUACUUGAGAACAUUUGUGCAAUGUUAGACUCAUUAAACUGCACAGAAGCAGCUUUUUAUGUAUUUCAAAACACAGAUGUGUUUUUUUAGAUUAAGAACAAAUUAAUCCCAUUUGUUCUUAAGUACCACAGAAACCCCUGGGUAACAAGCAAACAAAAGUCUACAUCUGCCACGAUUUACAUUAAUUUCCACUGCAGAGAUUGUACACAUUGGCUUCUUACUGUUAAGAAAACAAUACUCCCUUCUAAGAUGAAAAAUGCAAAUAAGAUUUUAUCAGCAUCACAUGCUGACAGUGCCUGUAACAUAUUUGCCUGAAAAGCUUCUAGAUCUCCAAUGAGACUAUUGCAGUUAAUCAUACAUUAAAAAUUCAAUGUCCAGCCAUAAAAAACAGCAGGGAAUAUAAAGUCUUUAUAAAUCCUUGUGGCUUUAAAUUGAAUGGUUAAUGUUAUAGAUUCUGAAAUCCAGUGGAGUGGAUGGGAAUGUGCCAUUUGAUUACAGCAGGCAGGGCUGACGAUAAGGAGCUACACAAACUCAGCUCCAGUCCAACAGAGGCCCUAGUCUUUUAGCUUUUUUUAAAAAAAUAAAGCACAUUUUUACCCUGGCUUUUGACACUUGAGGUGCAUGUGUUUAGGACCCAGCUAAUGUUUAUGGUUGUAAAUGGUUUCAAAUGGCUUUUAAGACUGUAACCUGCUCUGGAACCUUAAGACGAAGUCUGGGUAAUCCAUAAAUAAAUAGUCAAUGAGUCCUGUCCUUCUCAUCAGAAUUUGGACAGGCAGUGAAAGUGGUGAUCUGGGGUCUGGAGGCAGUUUUUAUUUUAUGAUUGGACACUGCACUUGAAGCCAUGAGAAAAAGAGUGGCCUAGAAGAGCUUUAAAAUAAGUAAAAAUCAAAACAGCAGCAACAGCAGCAGCUUAAUCCAGCUAUAAAAAUUUGCAGGAAGAGAAACAAUGUGCGUUUGUAUUAAUCAUGGCAGCUACAGUAACCAUAACACACAGGAGAGAGAGAGAAAUAGUGAAGACAGGGAGAGCGAAAGAGAUUGUGAGGUAGCAGAAAGAGAGAGAUACAAGGAGAGAGGGAGAGGAGGAGGAGGAGAAAGAGAGUCGUUUUAUCAGUUAGGGAGCCAUUUGAUUAGUUAGGAGGUUAUUGUGUUAGCUUGGGGGUUAGAGAGUGUUAGAGACAAAUGGGAUCCUCUUUAGUGAGGGUCCUGGUUGCGUGUGGGCCCCUAAGGCACCCCCGCUGGGAGAAUUCUUGUCGGGCAUGGCCCAAGCCUUAACUGUUAGGCCCCAGGAUCGUGUUAGGCUGCUUGGGCCAAUUGGGGCGGUUGGCGCGAUUCCUGGGGCCUAUAAAAGCGGCAGCGCAAUGUAACUGGGGGCGCUUGCUUCGCUCUGCCGAACACCCACUCUCCCUCCCUAAUUUUAGGUGCUUUUGCUUUGGCCUUGCUUUGGAUUGGGUCACCUGCUUUGGAGCAGGGGCUGGGUAGGAUUUUUUUCCAUUUGGCAGAUUGGCUGUAGCCUCUUGGUUUUUGCCUACCCCCUUAGCAAUCGUCACAACUUUGUAAGGUUUGGCGGUUGGGCAUUGGCUUAUUGAAGUGUGUGGGAGGGGAGGUGCAGCCAUCACCUGCCCCUCCAUGAAUAAGGGUAUUCCAGUAAAGGAAUCUGGGGGUCUUGGAUCUUGUCCGAAGUCCUCUUGAGGGGCUAGGGCCAUGCCAGGACCACAGGAACCCCGGGGUGAGCUUCGGUCGGACUUCAUCGAUGUUGCUCCCUCGUUUGGUGUUUACCCUUCAGACUUCCAGCCAGAGCGGCAGGAGUCAGUUAUAGUCUGUUGCCCAUGCCUAAGCCAAUACCGCUCACUUUGCUGUAAUCAAUAAAGUUGUGGCCUAAAUUUUGCCCAAUAACUUAAACUAAAGUUACUUGUCAAUAUGAAGUUAUUUUCAGGGGAAGGGCUUGGGGGCCUCGAAGCGCAAUGCCAUUUUCUUAGCUAAAAAUUCAUUUUAUUAGUUAGGGGGUUAUAGCACAUUGGAGGAGUAAGUAGGGUUUCAUAGUACUUUUUACUAGUGAAAUUACUAUCAAGAAUAAGAGCUCUUUGGGACAACCCAGCCACAGUCAUGGCUUGAUUAUUCUCAAAUGGUUAUGUUCAGGACCAGUUUAAAUGCUUCAAGUGGCUUGCCUUUUCGUCUUGUGGCUAUGAUUACAAGAAGGCCGUCUCCAGGUUUCGGAGAGUCGUUUGACAGUAUUUACACACUGGGUCCUACGCCUGCCCACAAGUUGCUCAUGAUAGCAAUUUCUUGCCAAGUGGAGGUGUCAGAUGCCCCAGGUGCUACAACCCAGGAAACCUGCCAUUUUCAGUCUCUCUCCAUGUCUCUAGAGUUCAGUUCCUAACAGUUACAAAACUGUGAUUUUUUAAAAAUAGUCCUUCUGAAAAUUCACCAGCAUUUAAAUGCAAAUUUCUCAUAAUAUUUGUGUAUGGAAUUUUGCCUAAUAUUCACAUUGGUGAAAAUCCAUUGUCCCUCAUUGAUAGCAUUUUUGCAUAUACCCUCCCCAAUAUAUGUAUUUUAGUUGGCUAAAUAAUUGCCUUGCAAAAUUCAGAGAAGUGAUGAUUUCAAAGGUUUUCUCUGUUUUGGUUUGUGUAUUGUUUCGGAACAUGCAGACUAGGUAGUUUAGGUAGUUUCACCUUUAAAUGAGAACUCAGUCAACUUUCUUUCCCAUCCCUGUGCUCAACACAGCAAGUAUCCUGUCUAAACCGUCCUGAGUUAUACAAGUUGGGAUGUGGUUCGGAAUGGUUUCAUAGCAAACCCCCCUCCACCCACCCACCCACAUUUAUCCAUUGACUGAAGGGGUUAGUUUUGUGUAGAAUAUCAGAUCCAGAGAACCAUUAAUGAGUGAGCACAGUAGAAGUGGAAAGUAAAAUUGCGGUGAGUGGGAAGAUGACCAUUCUGUACGUCUCUCUGAUUGAAUGUGUUUAUCCUUCUGCUGUGUAUUUACUUAGCAACUUCUUCUGUUCACUAGAUAAUGGCAUGGAUUUACUUUAAGCUACUCUAAUAUGGGUUUAACACAUUCCCAGUAGUGACUCAAAUUGCUUCUCAGAAUAUAAUAUAGCAAUCCGGGGAGGCUAUGUUGAACUGCAUGGCAUUGGUGCCCUUUUUUUGACUCGCUUCAGUGAUAGUCACUUUGCUGGGCAGUAAUAACUUAAAAUGGCUUGGAUAAUCACACGCGUUCCAGCCAGCAUCAACAUGACAUCAUAAAUCUGUUGCAUUUGCAGUAUAUAGGCUGGCCGAAGUAUUUCCACUUUCUUGUGGAGUGGGGUCAGAAACUAUGGAAAAUGAGGCCGUCCAAAUUUGGAAACUGUAUGCAGUUGAGGAUCUGCGCAGAAGAACAUAGAAGCAGCAUUCUGAAGUGAGAAGGACCAUAUCUUAAUGAUACAGCCCAUGAUUUGUCCCCCCAACACCACCAGUUUCUGGACAGGGACAACCUGAUUGCAGUACUGGUAACCUCAAGACAGGACCUCUGCUCUAAGCUCUAUGUGGGGUUACCUUUAGGUCUAAUCUGGAAGCUUCAGCUACUGCAGAAUGCUGCAAGUUGUCUGGUGAUGGGAACAGGGUACCGCCAACAAAUAACAUCAAUGUCAAAAGGCCUGCAUUGGCCUCCCAUCUACCACCAAAUAAGGUUCAGGGUCCUUGUAUUAGUGUACAAAGCUCUGAACAACUUAGGCCCAGGAUAUUGCCCCUUACAUCCCAAGCAAAUCAGUGAUGGGGGGGGGGGCACUAUUUGUUGUCCGCCAUGGUCCAGAAGCACGACUCGGAUCACCAAGGAGUCAUGUUAGUGGACCAAACUCUAGGGAACUCCUUCCCAGUAGAAACCAGGCAGGCAUCUUCACUGAAAAGAUUCAGAUGUCAGGUCAAAACAGUUUUAUUUCAGGAGGACUUGACUCCAGGAGGAUUUUGCUCUAGUAUUCUUAUUUUCUGAAGUUUAAAUCUAUGUUUCAAAUUCUGUACGCAUUGUGUAAGCCGCAUUGACAAGUGUUUCAAAUUCUGUGCACGUCAUGUAAGUAUAUUUUGUAAAAAAAGAAAAGAAAUAGAUAGGAUUAGACAGCAGGUAAUGAGAAAGUCCUCUGUCUGAGGCAAUGAAGACAGUUACUAGUCACAGGAUACAAUACUGAAGCUAGUCCGACCUGGUUUAAGACAGCUUUCUAUGUAUCUUAAGUGGAGCUUGGUUGUGCAAUAGCACAACCCUGAUGCUUACUUCCUGGGAAGCCCAGCAUUGCCUUUUCAACACAGGAAGCAAAGCAAAGCAGAAGGCAAAGCUUUAAGAAUGUACUGGACAAUCUUUUUGGGCCUUUGGUCUCUCACAGUACUUUGCUAGUCUGGCACAGGAGCCCAUGGAUCCAAUGAGACACACACAUCUUCAGUCCAAAGGGUUGACCCUUUAAGAGAAUCUAGUGGUCCACUCAAGGGGACAGAGCACAGAAGAGGUAGACUGGAGGCAGUGGCUCAAAAGUCCCAGCUUUACUUCCAGCCAGCACGGGGAGCUCUCCUUGGAGCUGUGAGAACCAACCCACCUUGGCUCAUGGGCUCCUCCUUGGGACCAGAACGAAGGAGUUAUCCUUGGUUUAAACUAGGGUUUGUUGGGGAAAAAACCAUGUUAAGGAACCAUUGUUUGAUCCUGGCUAUAAUGAGCCACAGUUUAAACUAACUACAGUUUGUUGUAGUUAGCUGUAGCAACAAAUAAUGGCUAGUUUAACCCUGGAAGCCCUGCUUCUGAUCUCUUUGUCAUGGCUGCAUCAGAGGAAAGGGAAGAAGACGGUGUCCAAGGCUGCAAUUCACCCAAGUGCCUUCCUAUACUGCUAAAUCAGACAUAGGCAAACUCAGCCCUCCAGAUGUUUUGGGACUACAACUCUCAUCAUCCCUAGCUAACAGGACCAGUGGUCAGGGAUGAUGGGAACUGUAGUUUGCCUAUGCCUGCACUAAAUCAUGUCCUUGAGAAAUACAAGCUUUGUGAAUUCCAGUAUGAACUAAUCUGAUCCAUAGCUCCCACACGAAUAUGCAAUUGGAAUGUAACUAUUCAUUAGAUUUCACUCUGUGUGUGAAUGGAAAGACGUGUUUUGAUGGGCUGCGUAGAUGUGAAUGGAUGGAUUUGCGUGGUGAGUUCCCAUCCUCCCCCAGUGGAAAUAAAGACACACGACACAAUUAAUUAAGGUUAAUGGGCUAAAUAAGGCCACAACUUUAUUGGUUACAGGUGAUGAGAGGUAUUGGCAUAGGCAUUGGUCCUAACCGACUAUCUGGCUUCAGCCUGUUCGCUUGAAGUCUGGGAAGGGUUAACCACCAGUAGGGGGAGUCCUGCUGUUGCACAUCAACUAGGAUCUCCCCCGGGGUCACCGCUCGGGGGCGUGCCUUAGGCCCUCACCACCAUAGACUUUGGACAGGGCCACGCCCCCCAGAAUCCUUUAUCGGACUACCCUUCAAUAUGCAGGGGAGGUGAUGGCGCUUCCUCCCCCCUUCAUCUACACAACAAUACCUAUACCAAUGCCUAACUGCCAAUACCAAGGACGUUGUGACGAUUUGCUACGAGGUAGGCGAAAAACCAAGUGGCUGGUGCCAAUUUGCUAAGUGGGAAAAAUUCCUACCAGGCCCCUUAACGGCGACCAACCAAGGUCUAUAGCAAGGUCAAAGACAAAACCUUAAAGGGUGGGUGGGUGGGAAACCGGAGCAGUUGGAAGCGGCAAAAGAGGGAGAUCCCUGGCCGCCCCUGCGUUAAAUUGGGCAGGCCACACCCCCGAGCCAGCCGAUUGGCUGUCCAGGGGAUGAUGCGGCUGGGGAUUCCCCUGAUCGCUCGGGGGCUGGGCUCCAGCCGCCGCGUGCGUGGUGGGGCUGUGAUGCCCAUAAUCCCACCUCCUCUGCAGGGCGGAAGUGGCUUUGUGUAACUGAGUUGUGUAUGAGUGUGUGUGAACAAAUGAAAUAUUUAUAUGGCUUUGACUCCACCUACUUUUGAUCCCACCCACUUUUUGAUUGGGUCACUCCCACUGUUGGCUUGCAGCCCUCAGAAAGUUACACACAAGGGAAUGUGGCCUUUGGUUUGAAAAAGCUUCCUUGCCUCUGAUCUCACCAGACAAACUAGACUUACAAGCCAGGAUACAACAUGUCAAGAGCCUGAAGCAACCUUCCACCUCUGUGCAUUCUAGAUUUAAUCAGGUUUCACAAGCAGGUAUACAAGCAAUUUACCUGUAGUACAUUUAAGACAUGGGGUAUUGUUUGUAAUAUGUUGUUAAAUAUUCUUCCCCCCUUUACCUUUUAUUUCCUUAGGCAAAACAUUUAUCCUGAGGUUUGCAGCUAUUCUCAUAAAAUGAGCAUCUAACAUUUCAUUCAGCUAUGCAAACGAAGAAGGGAUGAAUAAACAUUGCAUAUGAAUGCAAAAGAUACUUUGCAUUAUCACAUCAGACAUGGAGGAGGCAUAAAACGUUCCCAUAAUUAUUGUUGGCAUCUGUGAAUUUAUAGGAAAGAUGCAAAUUGGAGGAAAUGAGAAAGCAC